CGCGGCCACAUCACACUGAAACAACGGUUCCUGGAUGAUCACUGAAGUUAAGCAACGUCGAGUCUGGUUAGUAUCUACAUGGGUGGCCGCUUGGGAAUACCAGUUGCUGUAA
This is a non-coding RNA of Acanthosepion pharaonis, 112 nucleotides long. The record is from the annotation of a GenBank genome assembly. NCBI's taxonomy places the organism in Eukaryota, Metazoa, Mollusca, Cephalopoda, Sepiida, Sepiidae.